RNAcentral lists this transfer RNA (65 nucleotides) under Chelonus formosanus. RNAcentral's name for it is "tRNA-Cys". Lineage: Eukaryota; Metazoa; Arthropoda; Insecta; Hymenoptera; Braconidae. The record is from RNAcentral.
AUUUUAUUAGUUAAUUAAUAACAUUAAAUUGCAAAUUUAAAAUAAUUUUAUUUAAAUAUAAAAUU